RNAcentral lists this ribosomal RNA (549 nucleotides) under uncultured Glomeromycotina. RNAcentral's name for it is "SSU rRNA". It matches the Rfam family "Eukaryotic small subunit ribosomal RNA", at positions 548 to 1098 of the family's 1831-position model. The record is from RNAcentral. Lineage: Eukaryota; Fungi; Glomeromycota.
UUGGAGGGCAAGUCUGGUGCCAGCAGCCGCGGUAAUUCCAGCUCCAAUAGCGUAUAUUAAAGUUGUUGCAGUUAAAAAGCUCGUAGUUGAACUUCGAGAUUUAUUCAUUGGUCAGGCUUAAUUGUCUGUACUGGUGAGAUAAAUCUCUACCUUCUGAGGAACUUUCAUGCCAUUUAUUUGGUGUGAUUGGAAAUCAGGACUAUUACUUUGAAAAAAUUAGAGUGUUUAAAGCAGGCUAACGUCUGAAUACAUUAGCAUGGAAUAAUGAAAUAGGACGGACUGGUUCUAUUUUGUUGGUUUCUAGGAUCACCGUAAUGAUUAAUAGGGAUAGUUGGGGGCAUUAGUAUUCAAUUGUCAGAGGUGAAAUUCUUGGAUUUAUUGAAGACUAACUACUGCGAAAGCAUUUGCCAAGGAUGUUUUCAUUAAUCAAGAACGAAAGUUAGGGGAUCGAAGACGAUCAGAUACCGUCGUAGUCUUAACCAUAAACUAUGCCGACUAGGGAUCGGACGAAGUUAUUAAAAAUGACGCGUUCGGCGCCUUACGGGAAAC